Molecule: small RNA, 879 nt
Filed under: Pongo abelii (Sumatran orangutan)
Lineage: Eukaryota; Metazoa; Chordata; Mammalia; Primates; Hominidae
Description: processed transcript
Source: RNAcentral
CCAUGGCUAUGAUGUCACCAAGGUCUUUGGGAGCAAGUUCACACAGAUCUCGCCCGUCUGGCUGCAACUGAAGAGACGUGGCCGUGAGAUGUUUGAGGUCACGGGCCUCCACGAUGUGGACCAAGGGUGGAUGCGAGCUGUCAGGAAGCAUGCCAAGGGCCUGCACAUAGUGCCUCGGCUCCUGUUUGAGGACUGGACUUACGAUGAUUUCCGGAACGUCUUAGACAGUGAGGAUGAGAUAGAGGAGCUGAGCAAGACCGUAGUCCAGGUGGCAAAGAACCAGCAUUUCGAUGGCUUCGUGGUGGAGGUCUGGAACCAGCUGCUAAGCCAGAAGCGCGUGGGCCUCAUCCACAUGCUCACCCACCUGGCUGAGGCUCUGCACCAGGCCCGGCUGCUGGCCCUCCUGGUCAUCCCGCCUGCCAUCACCCCCGGGACCGACCAGCUGGGCAUGUUCACGCACAAGGAGUUUGAGCAGCUGGCCCCUGUGCUGGAUGGUUUCAGCCUCAUGACCUACGACUACUCCACAGCGCAUCAGCCUGGCCCUAAUGCACCCCUGUCCUGGGUUCGAGCCUGCGUCCAGGUCCUGGACCCCAAGUCCAAGUGGCGAAGCAAAAUCCUCCUGGGGCUCAACUUCUAUGGUAUGGACUACGCGACCUCCAAGGAUGCCCGUGAGCCUGUGGUCGGGGCCAGUGUUCAUGGAGCCUCUUGAAUCUGUGCAUGUGUACUCCUAGCAAAUUUGGAAAAUAUGGGGCCAAAUUCUUCAAAUAUUUUUUCUGUUUCUUCUGUCCUCUCCUUUGGAGACCACAAACACUAGAUCCAUUGAAUUUGUCCCACAGCUCACGAAUACACCUUUUACCUUUUGGAAUUCUUUUUUUUUUU